UUUACACCUUUGGAGUCUUGGGAGUGCUAUCUCUACGCAAUUUGGUUUUAUAUAUAUAUAUAUAUAUAUAUAUAUAUAUAUAUAUACACACACACACAAAUUGCGUAGAGAAAGCACUCCCAGGACUCCAAGGGUGUAAA
Pelobates cultripes (western spadefoot toad) is the source of this 140-nucleotide non-coding RNA. Lineage: Eukaryota; Metazoa; Chordata; Amphibia; Anura; Pelobatidae. The record is from the annotation of a GenBank genome assembly.